Molecule: long non-coding RNA, 1273 nt
Filed under: Apteryx owenii (little spotted kiwi)
Lineage: Eukaryota; Metazoa; Chordata; Aves; Apterygiformes; Apterygidae
Description: lncRNA (ENSAOWG00000006279.1)
Source: RNAcentral
ACAUCAUUGCGCUGAUGACUGAGCUUGCCAAAGUACAGAAUGACUCUUAGCACUCUCUUCUCCCCAGAGAGGUUGCCAUUUAGCAGCAGGUCUCCUUGUGCACGUGCGCAGCCUUUUGUAAUCAGCCAAGACUCAACCUGAAAGUCACGUGACCCCCGGAGAACCAUUCUCUUGAGUGAAGGACAGUCAAAAAGCUUUCUUAGAGGUAUGUGUAAAUUAAGGAUUUAUCUUCAACUGUCUUUCUACAAAACUUGUAAUGAAAAGAGCAGUAUUUCUCAAAAUGCAAGAAAUAUAGUCUCCCAACUAAAUUAUCAGGAGCCAUCAGUCUUCAAUUUGUAAAUGUGGAAGCAGAGCAGGGGACGGGAAAAGAGGCAGGGAGCCCCUCUUCAGGGACAAGCCCUGCACCAGCCCAUGAGACCAGCUGCUUGCAAGGUGGCCAACACCUUACCUAAACUCAAACUCCACAAUGAGACGCUUGCAUCUUUCCAUGACUUUUUCUUACAAUUCUCUUCAGUGUCUUAUACACAAAUUGUUAAUACCACAACAAAGAUAUUGAGCUGUAUCUUACACAAGUUCCUUAUUAUAGAAGAGAUGCUCCAUGGAGGACAACACAGGAGGACACAUGCAUAUGUUUUUACACAGUCACGCUGUUUCUUUGUCAAUGCAUUUGACAGUAAUGUGGCAAGAAGCCUCAAAUUUAGCUGCAGUGCUAUGAAAUACAGCAGGCCCUUUAAAGACUUAAAAGUGCAAUAGAAGAUCAAGCAAAGAUACCCCUGUGCUUGGAGGCAGGGGAACUGGAGACACUGCCUAAGACACACUCUUCAUAUUCUGAUUGCUUUGCCUCAGGCUCACUGAAUCAUAAGUGAAUUUAUGAAGUCUAUUUGUUUUUGCCAUGCUGGAACAAGCUUUUGUAAUCAUUUCUAGAUGCAACUCUGAAAUUGUUCAGAAUUGGAAGAGUGAACUACACAUAAACAGCAUUCAUUUUCCAUUACAAGCUGUGACAGUCUAGAGAGUCAGUCUUACAACACAGGUAAUCUAAUGAAUUUUAUAAUAUGGAGUCUGUCAUUUGAGGGCCAUGUCACAGCUUGUUUUGAGCAGACUGUUAAGUUAGAACUACUGCUUUUACAGCUGGAAGAACUGUUCUGUACAGGUCUCUCCAACAGCAGAAGAACUUUGCACAGAAACAAAUUCUCAGUGCAGAACAGUGCAAUGUAGCUGUCAAUACUGACCUUUAAAAAAUAAAGAAUUUCUGUGCCUGAGAGUGCCCCGUAGA